GAUGAACGCUGGCGGCGUGCUUAACACAUGCAAGUCGAACGGAAAGGCCCUGCUUUUGUGGGGUGCUCGAGUGGCGAACGGGUGAGUAACACGUGAGUAACCUGCCCUUGACUUUGGGAUAACUUCAGGAAACUGGGGCUAAUACCGGAUAGGAGCUCCUGCUGCAUGGUGGGGGUUGGAAAGUUUCGGCGGUUGGGGAUGGACUCGCGGCUUAUCAGCUUGUUGGUGGGGUAGUGGCUUACCAAGGCUUUGACGGGUAGCCGGCCUGGGAGGGUGACCGGCCACAUUGGGACUGAGAUACGGCCCAGACUCCUACGGGAGGCAGCAGUGGGGAAUAUUGCACAAUGGGCGGAAGCCUGAUGCAGCAACGCCGCGUGCGGGAUGACGGCCUUCGGGUUGUAAACCGCUUUCGCCUGUGACGAAGCGUGAGUGACGGUAAUGGGUAAAGAAGCACCGGCUAACUACGUG
RNAcentral lists this ribosomal RNA (468 nucleotides) under uncultured bacterium. RNAcentral describes it as "partial 16S ribosomal RNA". It matches the Rfam family "Bacterial small subunit ribosomal RNA", at positions 28 to 507 of the family's 1533-position model. The record is from RNAcentral.